RNAcentral lists this ribosomal RNA (465 nucleotides) under uncultured bacterium. Its description in RNAcentral is "partial 16S ribosomal RNA". It matches the Rfam family "Bacterial small subunit ribosomal RNA", at positions 28 to 506 of the family's 1533-position model. The record is from RNAcentral.
GACGAACGCUGGCGGCGUGCUUAACACAUGCCAGUCGAACGGAAAGGCCCAGCUUGCUGGGUACUCGAGUGGCGAACGGGUGAGUAACACGUGGGUGAUCUGCCCCUGACUUUGGGAUAAGCCUGGGAAACUGGGUCUAAUACCGGAUAUGACCUUACAUCGCAUGGUGUUUGGUGGAAAGCUUUUGCGGUUGGGGAUGGGCCCGCGGCCUAUCAGCUUGUUGGUGGGGUAAUGGCCUACCAAGGCGACGACGGGUAGCCGACCUGAGAGGGUGAUCGGCCACACUGGGACUGAGACACGGCCCAGACUCCUACGGGAGGCAGCAGUGGGGAAUAUUGCACAAUGGGCGCAAGCCUGAUGCAGCGACGCCGCGUGAGGGAUGACGGCCUUCGGGUUGUAAACCUCUUUCACCAGGGACGAAGCGUGAGUGACGGUACCUGGAGAAGAAGCACCGGCCAACUACGU